RNAcentral lists this ribosomal RNA (425 nucleotides) under uncultured bacterium. RNAcentral describes it as "bacterial SSU rRNA". It matches the Rfam family "Bacterial small subunit ribosomal RNA", at positions 354 to 796 of the family's 1533-position model. The record is from RNAcentral.
GUAACGAAUAUUCCGCAAUGCACGAAAGUGUGACGGAGCAAUGCCGCGUGCAGGAUGAAGCAACUUCGUUGUGUAAACUGCUGUCAGGAGCGAGAAACCAUGAUCAGCUCCAGAGGAAGGACCGGCUAAUCUCGUGCCAGCAGCCGCGGUAAUACGAGAGGUCCAAGCGUUAGUCGGAAUCACUGGGCUUAAAGGGUGCGUAGGCGGGCUUGUAAGUGUCUUGUGAAAUCCCAUGGCUCAACCAUGGAACUGCAGGGCAUACUGCAAGCCUUGAGGAAUCUAGAGGCCGGCAGAACGAUAGGUGGAGCGGUGGAAUGCGUAGAUAUCUAUCGGAAUGCCAAAGGUGAAGACAGCCGGCUGGGGAUUUCCUGACGCUGAGGCACGAAAGCGUGGGGAUCAAACAGGAUUAGAUACCCUGGUAGUCC